CUCGCAACCCGACUUGAGCGUAAAUCCUUUUUUGCUUUUAAUUAAGUUCUAUUGAAUUUGAAAUUUUCUGCAAAAAAGAUUGGGAGCGGAAGGCGGAAAAGUUG
Molecule: small RNA, 104 nt
Filed under: Epilithonimonas xixisoli
Lineage: Bacteria; Pseudomonadati; Bacteroidota; Flavobacteriia; Flavobacteriales; Weeksellaceae
Description: Chryseobacterium xixisoli Flavo-1 RNA
Source: RNAcentral